This 1489-nucleotide ribosomal RNA is filed under the name human metagenome. RNAcentral's name for it is "bacterial LSU rRNA". It matches the Rfam family "Bacterial large subunit ribosomal RNA", at positions 495 to 1988 of the family's 2925-position model. The record is from RNAcentral.
AGAGUACCGUGAGGGAAAGGUGAAAAGAACCCUGAGCAAGGGAGUGAAAUAGAAUUUGAAACCGUGUGCUUACAAACGGUAGGAGCACUUUAUGUGUGACUGCGUGGAUUUUGGUUAAUCAUCCUGCGAGUUAUGAUCAGUGGCAAGGUUAAUAAAGCGGAGCCGAAGGGAAACCGAGUCUUAAUAGGGCGUUAAGUCGCUGGUCAUAGACGCGAAACCUAGUGAUCUAGGCCUGUCCAGGCUGAAGCUGAGGUAAGACUCAGUGGAGGGCCGAACUCACCGCCGUUGAAAAGUUGGGAGAUGAGGCAGGUUUAGGGGUGAAAAGCCAAUCGAACUAGGAGAUAGCUCGUUCUCUCCGAAAUGCAUUUAGGUGCAGCCUUGACGUUAAGAUAUGUGGGGGUAGAGCUCUGUAUGGUCUAGGGGGCGUACUGCUUACCGAAAUCAAGCAAACUGCGAAUACCGCAUAUUAAUAGCCAGGAGUGAGUCCGUGGAUGACAAGGUCCUCGGACGAGAGGGGAACAGCCCAGACCGCCAGCUAAGGUCCCUAAUUAUGUCUAAGUGGGAAAGGAGGUGGAUAUUCACAGACAACCAGGAGGUUGGCUUAGAAGCAGCCAUACCUUGAAAGAGUGCGUAACAGCUCACUGGUCGAGAGUAUCUGCGCCGAAGAUGUAACGGGGCUAAGACAUAAACCGAAGCUGCGGAGGCGUGUUUUCACGCCUGGUAGGAGAGCGUUCUGUAGGCCGUCGAAGGUAAGCUGUAAGGCUUUCUGGAGGCAUCAGAAGUGAGAAUGCAGGAAUGAGUAGCGAGAAGGCGGGCGAGAAUCCCGCCGGCCGGAAGUCCAAGGUUUCCAGGGGAAGGUUUGUCCGCCCUGGGGAAGUCGGGACCUAAGCAUAAGCAAAAAUGUGAUGGCGAAUGGAAAACAGGUUAAUAUUCCUGUACCGCUGUUAUCGCCUGAGAGACGGAGUGACGCAGGAAGGUAUGCGGGAAGGCUGACGGAAUAGCCUUUCUAAGGGCGUAGCAUGGGCAUGCAGGAAAAUCCGCAUGCCUAAAUGUGAGACCUGACGGGUAAGUGCAUCUUGCAUAAGCCGCAGAUCCUACACUGCCGAGAAAAACUUCUAUCGAUGAGAACCAGCGCCCGUACUGUAAACCGACACAGGUGGACAGAGUGAGAAACUUAAGGCCGACAGGAUAACUCUAGCUAAGGAACUCUGCAAAAUAGCCCCGUAACUUCGGGAGAAGGGGUGCCUGAUAUACCUGAAAGGAGAAACACCUCAAGGGGAAACAGGCCGCAGUGAAGAGUCCCAAGCAACUGUUUACCAAAAACACAGGUCUAUGCUAAGCUGAAAGGCGACGUAUAUGGGCUGACACCUGCCCAGUGCCGGAAGGUUAAGAGGAGGAUUGAGAGAUUCGAAUUGAAGCCCCGGUGAACGGCGGCCGUAACUAUAACGGUCCUAAGGUAGCGAAAUUCCUUGUCGGGUAAGUUCCGACC